RNAcentral lists this small RNA (5013 nucleotides) under Rattus norvegicus (Norway rat). Its description in RNAcentral is "uncharacterized LOC102556241". Lineage: Eukaryota; Metazoa; Chordata; Mammalia; Rodentia; Muridae. The record is from RNAcentral.
AAGGAAAAAUAGAGGAGGAAGGAAAGAAAACUAGCUAUUUUUCAUGAUCUGUCCUGAGAAAAUAUUUCUAAACUCACCCUACAAACUGCUGUCUAUAACACCAUUGGAGUCAAAUGGGCCCCUUUCAGACAGGGAAAUUCACAGCUGCUGGCUGUGGCAUGCAGGGCACGCAGCCAGGGACACCUAAGAGCAAGUGCUUGCCUCUCUCUCUCACCCAGAAUGAUGAUGCAGGAAUGACAAAGGGAGAUACUGGGGAAUGUCAAGUCAAACAAAUCAUAGCUCUUCUCCGGUGGCUCCUGUGACCUUGUUCUGAGGUAAGGCACACAGGCGGGAGGGACAUUCAGGAUAAGCAAUGUUUGUCAUCUGAGGCUUCUAUCUGCUCCAAACGGAACUUUAAAUCUCCCUUAUGGAGGCAUUGACAUUUAGUUUGGCACAUUUUCAGAUACUAGGGGAAAAAAAAAACAUGACUUGACAAGAAAAAAAGUCAAGUUAAUACACAGGAAAAGGAGGCCAUUAUUUCCAUAGUUCAGCAUCUAAUUUACAUAGAAGCAUGCAAACACGCGUUUUUGGACACUAGAAUUUCUAUUGUUUUAAAUUACUGUUUUUUUCUGUCACUGAGUCAAGGAAGAUAACUGUGGCUUUUACAAAUCCCAAAUCAAGUAAAAUUAGGUUCCCCAUUGCUACAUCCAGAAUCAAUCAAUCUUUCUUUCUUUCUUUCUUUCUUUCUUUCUUUCUUUCUUUCUUUCUUUCUAUCUUCCUUCCUUCCUCCCUUCCUCCAUCCCUCCCUCCCUUCCUUCUUUCCUUCCCGUGCUUAUUUUCAAUCAUAUGAGGUUUUUAUCUAAAAGUCGCUGAGUUGACCUGUCUCAUAUUAAGCUUUAUCGCCUGCAAAGAUGAAGGAGGCGGUCGUCCAGGGAAGUAUUAGCAUUCUUCUUAGGGUGGUUAUAAAUAUUAAAUUGGGCACAUGCUUAUCUGAUAAACUUUACUAUACAUAGACCAAGUUUCGAUUAGGGCAGGGGCAGGGGUAUUAUUUUAUAUGACAAACUGAUCCAGCUCUUUCCCCAAAUUAAAACAUGAGGACUCCUGAGGGACUGUGUGCACACACAUGCCUUUAAGGAGAGAGACUUUAUAAUCGAUAGGCUCGCUGAAAGUUUAUUUUUGUCCCCGUUAGAAAGAGCGUCUAAUUCUGCCCCCCCCCAACCAAUGCGCACACUUCGCUCCAGCCUGAACAUCCUGUGACUUCAGUAGUCCUGACAUUUUAAGGUGGUAUUUGAUCCUUCCAAAUCUUUGAAGAUCAUUUUUCUGCAGACUCUUCACCAUCCCACCUUUAAAGAUAAAAGGCCAGUCUGUGAAGGAGAUCAGGUCGAAGAAAGUUCAGUUUUGUAAUUCCAGCAACAGGACACUUCCCUCACUGACUGUCUCCCACAUAUCAGUUAUUUGAGACAGACUUUUUUAUUUGUUUGUUUGUUUUUCUUUUUUAGAAGAAAGAGAGGUCUGGUGUCAAAAGUGCUGCCAAACAUCCCCAAAUCACAGAGUCUCUUAACUCCGACAGGUUAAGAAAAGACAGUUUGCCUUCAUACCUUCAGCUUUCCUUAUUAACUUUGACCUCGGCCUUUUCUCAGUCAGCUGCUUACACAGGCAUUUCACACAGGAGAAGUGAAGGAAAUUCCAGAAGAAAAGCAAGCAGCAUAAAAACGACUUUUUACGGAAAGUUCAACAACCUCCAGAGAGAUCGAGUAUGGCAUGCUGAAGGAGCUGACUUCAUUUAUUAAAUGCACUUCCCGAUGUGUUAAGUAACUCGUUCUUCUAAGUGCACAGGGUUUGUAUUACUCUUCUCUCUGCUGCCUCCUUCCCCUCUGUAGGAUUUAUGAUGUUUUCCUGACAGGCUCCAUGUGCCUGAGGCCCAUUAGGUAGGACUGAGGUCUCACCUUUUCUAAGUCCAGAAGUCAUCCUGAGGAAGUGCUAUUACUUCAUGUGUAAAACUGCAAAACACACACAGAAUCACUUGGAACAGAAACUCUUUCUGUCAAGGGUUGCUCUUCCUCCAAAGUUUCUUCUCUGAAAACUUAUUACUAUUAUUAUUAAUUACUAUUAUUAGUUUUGCUGAUUUGAUUAUGCUCUACUGAAGGUAGUUAGAAAAUGAUAUAAAAUAGGAAAUAUUGUUGCUUGCAAAACAGUGUCAAAGGCCAACAGAUAAACCUUCAAAUUCAUCUGCAGCACAUGUCAAUUAGAUGCUGUCCAGAAAAUAGGGCAAGCAACAGGACUUCUUCCUCUGUUCAAAGUGUCAGUCCAAUUCAGUUUCAACCCAGAAUGUGUUUUAGGUCUGAGGUAAUAGGCCUACCUCAUUUCUUCCAUAGAUUUUGUCUGGAGGAGCGACCAACUGGAUCCACUUCAACUCUGGAGAUCACUACAUGCCACCACAUACUAUAUUGUUGGCCACGAGCAGCACUGAAUCUUCACGUGUAGCUUCUUACACUGUCAUGCCCCAUAGUACCCACAGCUAAAUCUAUACUUUCCAGCAAAGAACACAAGCCUGCAAUUGCCCUUACAGUUUCAAAGCUUAGCUUUGCAGGUAAUUGGGGAAAGUUAGUUAUGUUCUCCGUGCACAAGUUAAUUCAUUCCCACUAAAACAAUUACAGCAUUGACUGUGUCAUGAGUCUGUGAGGAUUGUAUAGUUCACAUGAAGCUGCUUAGGAACAUGUAAGCAUUCAUGUGUGCAUAAUUAUACAUUACUGUACUUUUAUUUUCAUUAUUUUUAUUGUACAAAUGUAAAUUUCUUUCUUCAUAUCAUAGAGAAUUGACACAGCAACAUUAACUUGAUUUAAUUAGCUCAUAAAAUCUGGACUUGCCAAGCUGGUCAACUGAGGCCACUUUUGGGAACCCAGAGGAAGAAGGUAUCUUCUAUAUCUAUUAUAUAGUCUAUCUAUUUAUGGGGAUAAAUAGAUGUUGGUAGAAGUGGAGGUUUCUGGAAUUGUCUGAAAAUAGUUCCUAUUGCCAAACUUUUGUACAUCAAGUGUGUGUACAAGAAAGACCUCAGAAAGUCAGCACUGCUAUAGGACUGUGCACAAGCCAAGUAUCUGAAUAAUUUCUGGUGACUGGGCUUUUUCCCUGUUGAGUUCGAUGACUGUACUCCACUAGGAGAAAGGUCAUGAAGCAUGGUUCCUGCUAGGGCUGACAUUUAACAAGGAGUGAUUGAUUUGAAAGCAGGAUUGAUACUCAGAUUUAGUCUACCGGUGUUUUGCUAAAAUCCCUUUAAAAUGGGACUGUAAGUUCAUCCUCUCUUUUUCUUUCCUCUGAAUAGAUUUUUUUUUAACUAGGCCAAAAACUACCAAUAGCCAGCUCAAGUAAAACACAAGCCAAUUCAUGUCUUCAGUGUCCACCAUCUGAGUAUCUCCUAGUUAGAGGAAUGAUCACAGUUCUUAAAGUAUGAAAACACUAGUUACUGAUCGCUACCUAUCCUGAGCCCUCACUGCUAACACAGGAGCUCCAGAUGAAAUCUAAAUUUGCUAUUUCAAGCCCAUUGCUGUGUUGAUCAUUUGAGAUAAAAAUGACAUAGUUUUGAGUCUUCGGAAACUGCUCCACUUAACUCCCAAACCGUUGCUUUUGAAAAAGGCUAAUUUGGGGUUGGGUACAUUGGUGUUGCUGCCUUGUAAAACGGCAAGCUUUUUUUUAAAAAAGAAAAAGAAAGAAAAGAAAAAAAUGAAAAAAAUGGCAGCAGAGACAUUUUUUCUAGCCCAUGUCAGCACAAAAGGGUGACUCAGUUGUUUCAUCUCCCAACAGCUGCAUGCUUUCAUUGACAUUUGGUGACCUUUCUUUGUGCACCCAGCCUAACCUCUUAGGUUAUUUCCUGGCCUCCCUUCUGUGACCUAUGACCGAAGCUGACCUUUAGCUGGAGAAUGUGACAUUUUGUUCUCCUCUAGCUGACAUGUGAUGCUCUCAUUAUUCAAAGAGCCAUCUUGGGAACAGUUCCAAACUGUGGAGAACAGAAGUUUCGACUGCUUGACUGAAGUGUUAACGUCAUCCAGUCUGAGAUUUCAUAACUUUACAAACAAGAGGCCGAGGCCUCAGUGGAGUCACCAGUGGCCGUCUUAAUUACAGCAUCAACAAAUGAGCAUUUCAGCAAAAACACGCAACCUUCUUGGUGCAGGUUCAGCUAAAGUUUCUCAUUCUGAAGCUGUCGUUUCCUCUCUACUUUCACCUCCUCAUUCUUGGGAAAAAAAGUAGUUUCCCCAUUACAGUCUUUUUUUUAAAAGUAUAGUUAAAAAAUAAAAUAAUAUCUUGGGUCCUGUGGAUCUUUUCUCAUGAAUGACUUAGUUAGCUGUUUAAGCUUGUGUCAAGAUAAUAUCCUCGAAAUUUGCUGAAAUAACCAUUCUCUUUCAGGUCAUGAUGUCUGUGAUUAGUUUCAAAGAGGCUAGGGCAUAUGUCAAUGCUGUAGGAAAUGUGUUGUUUAUGCCCCAAGAAGCUGUAUCUUCUCCUGAGUGCUACCUUCCCCGUGAAGAGAUGAGUUGAUUUCUGAAUUGUAAAACAAUGCCAUAUGGGAUAUAGGUUCAACAAAUAUUUGAAUGGAAGCUUUAUACAGAGAACUCCAGUGGUGAUAAAAUAGUGAGUCCUGCACCUGGCCUUCAACAAAGAUGUGUCCUUACCAAGAGCACACUGAAAUGUCUAACUCCUGAAAGAAUGUUUUGCAAGUUUUAGAGUUUGACAAGAUAUGGUGACUCGAGCCUGCAACACCAGGUCUUGGGUGGCCAAGGUGAAAGGAUAGCUUUAAUUUCAGGGCUGACCUGAGCUAGAUAGCAGGGUUCUGUUUCAAAACAAAAGCCGUGUGGAUCCCCCACCAAAGAAAAGCCUCAAUGUAAAUCUGCUUUCAUAAUUUUAAUAACUCUAUCCAAUCAAUUCUGAUGUUCUGUUCAUAGAUGAGUUCUUAGCUUACAUAUAAAAUAUCUUUCCUGUGUCAUUUUUAUGCCUAAUUGGUGUAUAACAUCCACUGAACAUCAAAAUAAAUGUUAUAAGUCAUUG